GUCUCGCCAUGCUGCUCCUGGGCCUGCUGCUGCUGCCCCUGCUGGCUGGCGCCCGCCUGCUGUGGAACUGGUGGAAGCUCCGGAGCCUCCACCUCCCGCCUCUUGCCCCGGGCUUCUUGCACUUGCUGCAGCCCGACCUCCCAAUCUAUCUGCUUGGCCUGACUCAGAAAUUCGGGCCCAUCUACAGGCUCCACCUUGGGCUGCAAGAUGUGGUGGUGCUGAACUCCAAGAGGACCAUUGAGGAAGCCAUGGUCAAAAAGUGGGCAGACUUUGCUGGCAGACCUGAGCCACUUACCUCCCCCACCUCCUCCUGCAGACAAGCUGGUGUCUAAGAACUACCCGGACCUGUCCUUGGGAGACUACUCCCUGCUCUGGAAAGCCCACAAGAAGCUCACCCGCUCAGCCCUGCUGCUGGGCAUCCGUGACUCCAUGGAGCCAGUGGUGGAGCAGCUGACCCAGGAGUUCUGUGAGCGCAUGAGAGCCCAGCCCGGCACCCCUGUGGCCAUUGAGGAGGAAUUCUCUCUCCUCACCUGCAGCAUCAUCUGUUACCUCACCUUCGGAGACAAGAUCAAGGACGAC
RNAcentral lists this small RNA (579 nucleotides) under Homo sapiens (human). RNAcentral describes it as "cytochrome P450 family 21 subfamily A member 2 (ENSG00000235134.7)". The record is from RNAcentral. Lineage: Eukaryota; Metazoa; Chordata; Mammalia; Primates; Hominidae.